AGUGACGAUAGCCUAGGAGAUACACCUGUUCCCAUGCCGAACACAGAAGUUAAGCCCUAGUACGCCUGAUGUAGUUGGGGGUUGCCCCCUGUUAGAUAUGGUAGUCGCUUAGCA
RNAcentral lists this ribosomal RNA (114 nucleotides) under Streptococcus salivarius JIM8777. The record is from RNAcentral. Lineage: Bacteria; Bacillati; Bacillota; Bacilli; Lactobacillales; Streptococcaceae.